This 435-nucleotide ribosomal RNA is filed under the name uncultured bacterium. RNAcentral's name for it is "partial 16S ribosomal RNA". It matches the Rfam family "Bacterial small subunit ribosomal RNA", at positions 29 to 507 of the family's 1533-position model. The record is from RNAcentral.
AGCGAACGCUGGCGGCAGGCUUAACACAUGCAAGUCGAGCGGGCAUCUUCGGAUGUCAGCGGCAGACGGGUGAGUAACACGUGGGAACGUACCCUUCGGUUCGGAACAACUCUGGGAAACUGGAGCUAAUACCGGAUACGCCCUUAUGGGGAAAGGUUUACUGCCGAAGGAUCGGCCCGCGUCUGAUUAGCUAGUUGGUGGGGUAACGGCCUACCAAGGCGACGAUCAAUAGCUGGUCUGAGAGGAUGAUCAGCCACACUGGGACUGAGACACGGCCCAGACUCCUACGGGAGGCAGCAGUGGGGAAUAUUGGACAAUGGGCGCAAGCCUGAUCCAGCCAUGCCGCGUGAGUGAUGAAGGCCUUAGGGUUGUAAAGCUCUUUUGUCCGGGACGAUAAUGACGGUACCGGAAGAAUAAGCCCCGGCUAACUUCGUG